Molecule: ribosomal RNA, 500 nt
Filed under: uncultured bacterium
Lineage: Bacteria
Description: partial 16S ribosomal RNA
Rfam family: Bacterial small subunit ribosomal RNA
Source: RNAcentral
AUUGAACGCUGGCGGCAUGCCUUACACAUGCAAGUCGAACGACAGCGCGGACUUCGGUCUGGCGGCGAGUGGCGAACGGGUGAGUAAUACAUCGGAACGUACCCUGUUGUGGGGGAUAACUAGUCGAAAGAUUAGCUAAUACCGCAUACGACCUGAGGGUGAAAGUGGGGGACCGCAAGGCCUCACGCAGCAGGAGCGGCCGAUGUCUGAUUAGCUAGUUGGGGGGGUAAAGGCCCACCAAGGCGACGAUCAGUAGCUGGUCUGAGAGGACGAUCAGCCACACUGGGACUGAGACACGGCCCAGACUCCUACGGGAGGCAGCAGUGGGGAAUUUUGGACAAUGGGGGCAACCCUGAUCCAGCAAUGCCGCGUGUGUGAAGAAGGCCUUCGGGUUGUAAAGCACUUUUGUCCGGAAAGAAAUCGCGCUGGUUAAUACCUGGCGUGGAUGACGGUACCGGAAGAAUAAGCACCGGCUAACUACGUGCCAGCAGCCGCCGUAA